UACGUAGGGUGCGAGCGUUGUCCGGAAUUAUUGGGCGUAAAGAGCUCGUAGGCGGUUUGUCGCGUCGGCUGUGAAAACCUGGGGCUCAACCCCGGGCCUGCAGCCGAUACGGGCAAACUAGAAUUCGGUAGGGGAGACUGGAAUUCCUGGUGUAGCGGUGAAAUGCGCAGAUAUCAGGAGGAACACCGGUGGCGAAGGCAGCUCGCUGGGACGUUACUGACGCUGAGGAGCGAAAGCCAGGGGAGCAAACGGG
RNAcentral lists this ribosomal RNA (253 nucleotides) under uncultured bacterium. RNAcentral's name for it is "partial 16S ribosomal RNA". It matches the Rfam family "Bacterial small subunit ribosomal RNA", at positions 524 to 776 of the family's 1533-position model. The record is from RNAcentral.